UGGUGUCUCUUUACAACAAUAAAACCCU
RNAcentral lists this non-coding RNA (28 nucleotides) under Mus musculus (house mouse). The record is from RNAcentral. Lineage: Eukaryota; Metazoa; Chordata; Mammalia; Rodentia; Muridae.